RNAcentral lists this ribosomal RNA (458 nucleotides) under Thermococcus sp. M36. RNAcentral describes it as "bacterial SSU rRNA". It matches the Rfam family "Archaeal small subunit ribosomal RNA", at positions 62 to 516 of the family's 1478-position model. Lineage: Archaea; Methanobacteriati; Methanobacteriota; Thermococci; Thermococcales; Thermococcaceae. The record is from RNAcentral.
GGCGCGCUCUGCGCGCACCGGCGGACGGCUCAGUAACACGUCGGUAACCUACCCUCGGGAGGGGGAUAACCCCGGGAAACUGGGGCUAAUCCCCCAUAGGCCUGAGGUACUGGAAGGUCCUCAGGCCGAAAGGGGCUUCGGCCCGCCCGAGGAUGGGCCGGCGGCCGAUUAGGUAGUUGGUGGGGUAACGGCCCACCAAGCCGAAGAUCGGUACGGGCCAUGAGAGUGGGAGCCCGGAGAUGGACACUGAGACACGGGUCCAGGCCCUACGGGGCGCAGCAGGCGCGAAACCUCCGCAAUGCGGGAAACCGCGACGGGGGGACCCCCAGUGCCGUGGCAUCGCCACGGCUUUUCCGGAGUGUAAAAAGCUCCGGGAAUAAGGGCUGGGCAAGGCCGGUGGCAGCCGCCGCGGUAAUACCGGCGGCCCGAGUGGUGGCCGCUAUUAUUGGGCCUAAAGC